UGCCAGACUCCUACGGGCGGCAGCAGUGAGGCCUCUUGGUCAAUGGCCGCGAGUCUGACCCAGCCAAGUAGCGUGAAGGAUGACUGCCCUAUGGGUUGUAACCUUCUUUUAUAAAGGACUAAAACGAGGCCCGUGUGCCUUUUUGCAUGUACUUUAUGAAUAAGGAUCGGCUACCUCCGUGCCAGCAGCCGCGGUAAUCCGGAGGAUCCGAGCGUUAUCCGGAUUUAUUGGGGUUAAAGGGAGCGGAGAGGGGUUGUUAAGGCAGUUGUGAAAGGGGUCGGCUCAACCGGAAAAGGGCAAGGGAGACGGGAAGGCGGGAGGACAGGGGAGGUAGGCGGAAGUCGGGGUGGAGCGGUGAAAUGCGGAGAG
This 369-nucleotide ribosomal RNA is filed under the name uncultured bacterium. RNAcentral describes it as "bacterial SSU rRNA". It matches the Rfam family "Bacterial small subunit ribosomal RNA", at positions 329 to 695 of the family's 1533-position model. The record is from RNAcentral.